Molecule: small nucleolar RNA, 77 nt
Organism: Pleuronectes platessa (European plaice)
Lineage: Eukaryota; Metazoa; Chordata; Actinopteri; Pleuronectiformes; Pleuronectidae
Product: small nucleolar RNA SNORD72
Exons: 1
Source: RefSeq, a predicted model, not a curated record
UGCUUACCAAUGAUGGUUGAAAAAAAUGUCUGAACAAAUGAAAUCUAAUGAUAUCAGUAUUUUCUCUGAGGUAAGCU